This 7577-nucleotide long non-coding RNA is filed under the name Musa acuminata (dwarf banana). RNAcentral's name for it is "long non-coding RNA (MACU_LNC000802)". Lineage: Eukaryota; Viridiplantae; Streptophyta; Magnoliopsida; Zingiberales; Musaceae. The record is from RNAcentral.
AGAGGAGAGCCACAAAGAUCUGAAUUGCCGAUAUAGAUAGAUGGAUCAGUAAAUGUUUGUAAUUGACUACCAGUGGGAAUUCUACCUGAAAGAUUGUUAUAUGAUAAGUUCAAAUCACUCAGGAAAUUUAACGCCGCCAAGGUUGAAGGAAUUGCUCCAGACAAAUUAUUUCUGGAGAGAUCAAGAAUUUCUAAUUGUUGCAUUCCAUUAAUAUUGCUCGGUAUCUCCCCUGUUAGGCAAUUUCUCGAUAGAUUUAAGCUCCGUAAUUCAUGCAAAUUUCCCAACUCCUCAGGGAUGUAUCCAGACAAACUGUUGUUGGAGAGAUCAAUAACUUUAUCAAUUGAAAGCAGUCUUGUAGUAUACUCGAGUUCACUCCCUUUUAUGAAGAGCCACAUUUCGUCAUCGUAGCUAUAGUUGUUGAAGUAUAAUUCACUUGAAGAAGACCUCUUCAAUGAACUGAAGUUGCCCAAGCUACGUGGUAUUGCUCCUGAAAAUGCAUUAUUGGAGAGAUCCAAUAUCUGCAGAUAUGUAAGAUGAGAUAAUUCAGGAAUGCUUCCGGUGAGGGCAUUCGACCUUAAGCUGAGAGUCUUAAGGAAUGGUAGGCUUUCUUCAAUCCAAGCUGGUAUAUUUCCAAUGAAGUUGUUGUAGCCCAAAUCAAGAGUAACCAAGUUUGUACAACUUUUUAAGGAUAGAGGAAUUUGCCCUAUUAAAUUAUUGUUGCUCAGAUGCAGUGACUGUAGGCUUCGCAAAUUGCUGAGGGAGUUGGGAAUUCUUCCUUGUAAUUUGUUGCUCGAUACGUCCAAAAUAAACAAACUCGAGAAAUUUUUCCAGCAAUUAGGAAUCUCUCCUGAUAAAUUAUUUUUUGAAAUUCGAAGCACUAGCAAAUACUUAUUUUGGCAAAAGGACAAGGGGAUGCUCCCACUCAGAUGAUUCAUAGAUAAAUCAAACCAAUAUAAAUAUUGCAUUGUGUUUGAGAUUUUUGAUGAAAGAUGACCCAAGAACGAGUUAUUUGAGAGAUCCAAAUAGUAAGUUUGCUUUCCAAAAAGUUGUGGCAGCUCACCAGCAAUCUUAUUGCCAGAGAGAUCCAAAACCUCAAGAUUUGGCAUGAUGUUUGCGAUUCUUGGAGAAAGGUGGCCUGAGAGCGAGUUGUUUGAGAGAUCCAAAGAAAUUAGGUUUGGAAGAUAUUGUAGCAAAUCACCGCUAAUCUUAUUAUUGGAAAGAUACAAAUACUCGAGAGAGGAAGGAAGCCAGUUGGGAAUCCUUUCUUUGAUACUUGUACUUGAUAAAUCUAAACCACGAAGAGUUGUUUGCAAUCGGAGCCAUUUCGGAAAAUGAGGCCUCGGCACUAUUUGGCAGAAGAACAUAUAGAGACUUUGAAGCUGAAAAGGAGGGAUCCAGUCAUCACCUUUAUUCAAAUCAAUAUAGCUAUAUGAAAUGUCCAAGAACUUUAAACUCGAUAAAUUAGCAAAGUGAACCUUUGAAAAGCGAAAUGAGUUAUUAGAGAGAUCCAAAUUGAUAAGGCCCUUCAGUCCUCCGAUGCCUUCUGAAAUCGACCCGUUCAAAUCGUUGGAGUAUAAAAACAAAGAUUGCAGCGAUGAUAGAUUUCCAAGAGAUGCAGGAACUGAUCCGUAGAGGAAGUUGUAUGAAAGACGAAGAGACUUGAGAUUCUUGAAGUUCCCCAACCAAUCCGGCAAGGAACCUCUCAACUGGGUGCCGUGGAGAUCCAAUUCCUUUAAGCUAAACAUUAGGCAUCCAGAGAAAACCGAUUCUAGAUUGGACAGCAUAUCGUUGAUUGGUACCUCUUCUAGGUAGAGAAUUUGGAGCUUGCUGAGAUUGGAUAGAGCUUCUAGUCUGAAGUCGUCGUGGAACAUAUUACCAGACAAGUCGAGUGCCCUGAGAUUUGUCAACUUGGCAAUAGUAUCAGGAGUUUGCCCAUAUAGGUAAUUCCAACAAAGAUAAAGCUCCUCGAGGCUGGUUAUAUUAAACAGCCAGUCUGGCACGGUAGAGUUGAUGAUGUUGUCUUCCAAAUUUAGAGUUGUAAGAGAUGUGAAGUUGACAUGAGGCAGCGACGGAGGAAAGGUCCUCAAGUCACAAGAAACUAAUUCAAUCACUUGAAUACGAGAGAGCGUGUUCAAUGCUUGUAACCAAUUGGACACAUUUCUAAAACUAACCCAAUUCAUGUAAAGGUGCUGUAGAGAAGUCAAACGAGAGAUCCAUCCAAUGUUUUCGAUGUGCAAAUCAUAAUUCGAGUAGAAAUUAUAAGAAAGGUCGAGUUGGUGCAAGGUGGAGAUAUUUCCCAGCUGAUCAGGUACUCUACCUCCGAAGCCUGCACUUGAGAGAUUAAGAUAUGUUAGUCUUCUAAAUGAUCCCAAGAACUCUGGGAUACGAUUUCCUUCAAAGUUGUUGCCGCUAAGAUCCAAAUGAUUAAGGUGUUGGAGAGAAAGCAAUGAUGGAGUUAUGCCACCGUGCAGUGCCCAUCUGCAUCCAACAUCAUCAUCAUCGAAGUUAGUCUCAGAGCAAUCCAUGUAUGAAACAUCUGACCGAUGUCUAUUGCGAAGGUGGAGCUCGAUAACAUGGCCAGUGACGUUGCUGCAGCGGAUGCCUUCCCAACUACAACAAUCCUCCCCAACCCAGGAAGAAAGACGAUGGGAAGGAUCACGGACUCGUUGCUUGAACUCCAUGAGGGCUUUCCUCUCUGUCUCUUGACAGCGGAUCAUGGAGAAACCAUCCGAGAUCCCGAGCUCAAUGCAAAGUACGGAAAGAGAGAAGACGAUCACAGGAAGAGGAGAUCUUUCACCCAUGGAUGGAUAUUAGAGGAUCUAAUUAACUUCUUAUUACUCGUGCGGCAGGCAGUAGUCCAUGUGUGUGUAUUUAUAUGAAUAUUCUGCUCUAGUCUCUUGUGAACAUGAACAUUAGGACUAUGGACUUGGUGGAUGCUGGAUAUCCAUAGAUAGAUGUCAUUAUUCCGCUGGUAGUCAAAGUCGUCUGAGGUGAGAAUCAUUCAACACUCGAUGGAAAUUGGGUGCCGUAGAGAGGCCGGGAAGCUUUUCCUCCACACUUUACACGAUCGUGAUCUCAAUUUGGAGUUUCCUACCUUUGCUCAUAUUGGAUUUUAAGAUUUACGAAUACGAUGAUGGUUCCAUCAAAAUGAUUUUUUGUGUAUCACAUAUCAAGAUUAUAACUUAUUUGGAGAUUCAAAACUUGGGAAUGUAAUCUGUUCACUAUUGUACAAAUCACCGCAUCCUACAAAACUGAUCAUACGAGGCUGCUUAAUGCGUGUUUUCGAGUCAACAUAUGCCUGUUGUGUAACAGACAUUUCUUCACUUAAAAACUUUGAUCAAACAAAAGAGCUCCUCAAAAUUGUUAUCAUAUACUUGACUCAAUUAAUCUGUUUAAUCUUUAAAAAAACUAUAACAAAAAAAAAGCUACUAAAAUCACUGUCAUUUAAAUUGCUUAUCCUUUUUUAUCAGCCACCAUCUAUCUACAAUCGGGUAUUGUGUUAAACAAUCUAUUCACGUAAGGGAAUCAAGGAAAGUUAUUAUGAAUCAUCAUCAUUUAUUUGACCUAGUAAAUUUCACUUAAAUAAUUGUUAUUUGCCUGACUCAACUAAUAUGUUGAAUGAUUCAUUUAAAUAGUGAUCGUGAUCACAAUUUGAAGUCUCCUACUUGACGUUCAAUGUGGUUUUCGAGUCAACCCAUGUGUGUUGUGUAUAAGACAUUCGUUACUUUACCAAAGACAAGACUGUCAUUUACUUGACCAAAGAAAAAAAAGCAACUAGAAAUCACUGGCAUUUACUUUACUCAAUUACUAUGUUUAGUCCUCCAAAGCAGAUGAAACAUAUAAUAACGAAGAUCGAUGGUUACGUGUGUCAUGACAUUAUAAAAUAUCAUCAUUAGAAGGGCUCUGAUUUAAAAAAAUGAGAAAGAUACUCCGUCGUGUUGUGCAGAAAAUAUGUACUUAUUGAAAAGACAACAAAGAGAAAUGCUACUCUAAAUCACUAUCAUUUGCGGGAUCUUUGAAACAGUUGCUAUUGUACAGCUUACAUGUACGUCAAUCUUUAUCGCAGGAUGUAGAGAUCUAAUCGGAGUUUCAAAUAUUUGUAACAAGACUUUCAGAAAAAGCAAAUCUAAAAUUUUAAUCAUCUAAUGCAUUUGCAUGGUUAUAACAAUUCCUAUUAUUAUUUUUAGUAGAAUCAUCAAACAUUAAAUGCAUCAUCAAUCAGCUACUCAUCUUUCCAAGGGACUAAUUUCGCCAGUGUAAAACGGGGAAACUUACGGAGGUUCAUUGACUAUAGAAAAAUAUAAAGAGAAAUAUACUCAAAAUCACUAUCAUUGACUUGACCCAUUUACUUUGCCUAUUCGAUGAAAGAAUAAUCAAAGAAAAAAAAACCACUUAAAUCAUUCUCAUUUCACUCUCAUUUACUUGAUCAAACGAAUGUGCUUAAGGUUCCAAACAAAUUUAUCAAUAAAGAAUAUCAUUUUUAUAAAUAUUUGAAAUGUCACACAUGUUGUUGAAAAUUGUACAUGGAGUGGGUUGUUCCCACAGCUUACGUCCACAUCAAUCAUUAACCAAAGAAUGUAGAGAUUUAAAGAGAAUUUGAAAUAGUCAUAGGACAUGUAUCACAAACGGUGUCGUGAAUGAAAAGUUCAUUUGAGUCAAUAUAUGAGAAAGUUUGCGGAUGCUCACCAUCACAUACAUGUUAUCAAAAAGCUUGAGAACAUACAUGUUAUCUAAGUCAAUAUGUGAGAAAAAAAUGGACGCGGAGCCUCUCAUACAUGUUAUCAAAAGCUUGAAAGUAAACAAUCCUCCAUCUCAUGUGAAGCAUGAGGCUUCCACAGAUCGUCCAAAAUCCCACGAUAAAUCCCAGUGCAGUCCACAUGAACAGCCAAAUUAUUUCAGUUCUGCUUGCAGAAUUCUUAUUGUUCUCUUUUUCUUCAGUAUGUUUUGCCAGGUCGUCUAUACAAUUUUUUGGGAGAGGAGGCCACAAAGAUUUGGAUUGCCGAUAUAGAUAGAUGGAUCAUUUAAAGUUUGCGAUUGGCUACUAGGUGGGGAUUUUACCCGAGAGAUGGUUAUACCACAAGUUCAAAUCAUUCAAGAAAUUUAAAACUAUUAAGGUGCAAGGAAUUGUACCCGAGAGAUUAUUUUUUGAGAGGUUGAGGAUUUCUAGCUAUUGCAUUCCAUCAAUGUUGUUUGGUACCUCCUCUGUUCAAAGGAAACUUCCACUUGAUAGUAUCGUAAGAUUUGCUUCUUCUUCAGGGGAUUAGAUGCCUUCCGAGAAUGUUUAAGCUAUCUGCAGGGUGCUCGACAUUCUUAAUCCACUUUGGGUUCCAAGUUUGAUGAUCCUUAUAAAAUUUUCUGCAGGGUCUGGGCAAUCACGAUCUCUUACGAAGGAAGUGGCACAUUUGGUCGCUAAUAAUCAGGACAACCUUGACUUUCUAAAAUUAACGGCCAUGUAUAGGAGGAGUUCCGAGAAGAUGCUAGUUGAUGCGAGCCUGGGUGCAGAAAAUAACGAAGGAAAUAACAUUAUUCUACUAUCAUAAUUCCAUGUCAUAUAAAUUUCAUGCGAGCCUGGGUGCAGAAAAUAUACUUUCUUCAGUCUAUCAAUUUCAAUCACUUAAACCCGAGGAACUUCCUUUGAAGCUGCUGCAAACUCCAGAAGACGUAGAGAACUUUUUUCCUGUCAACAGAUAAAGCUGUUCUACUCCUUGAGUUCCGUGGAUGGUCAGCCAAAUUGUUGCGCAGAAAGAACAAUGGAAAUUAUUAGACUAAUAUGUCUGCAUUUAAUCAUUCAGAGAAUGCUUUUCCACCUUAACUUGUUUGCCAACUGAUGGCUCAUUUCAGGUCUUCUUACUUUAUGUAAGCAGCAUGUAGAAUCAGCUCUCGUUUAGCAUUGACACCUUGCUGUUGAAUACGCCAAAUGUCAAUGACACUCUUAGUAGAUAUAAAACAAAUUUGAUAAAGGGUUAUGCAUUAUAGGGAAUUUUUUUCUUUUAUUGUAUAAAAAUAAUUUAUAGGUUCAUUGUCAUGGAGAACUGCGCCAGUUGCUUAUUGGCAAGUAACCUUCUAGCUUCUUGUUGAGAAGCAUGAUGCAGGGGAAACACAAUUCAUUAUCUGUUUCAUGGAUGCCAUCACAAGUACCCCACGGACGGACUGCGCCUUGUUUUUCCACCUGCUGCUACAGCCAUCACAUGUGUGCCGGUAUUGGCACUUAUUUUUCUCAUCCAUUUUAUAUAUGUGCUGGAAUUAAUGAGCAUGCCAUGUUUCGUCUAAUGCUUUUGAGCAUUUUGGUAUAUAUGACUUCUAUUUUCUCUUUUUGAAAAAUUUAAACUGUCUCGAUUUGCAGCAAAGGUAAAAUGGCUGUGCCAUGUCAGUGGAGGCUCUCAUGGUGCUUAAUAUGAGUUUUUAAUUGGUCAGUAAUUUGUUCAUGGUCUGCAUCCUAAUCCAACUCUUCAUCAUGCAGAACUCUAUCUUCAACUUUUCCUGUUAAGACACUGUACGGUGAUGAAUGUCUUGUGUUUAGCAGAGGUGGAAAGGAAAAUAAAAGAAUCCAAAAUGGAGGAUGUGUAUAAGCUAUAGACCAAUCAACAAGUGAAAAUGAGGCUUAAGACUAGAAAGAUUUUUCUUGUUAUGAGUGGAGUACUAUAAAUCCUGUAAUUAGUGUUACGGCAAAGAUUGUGACACUCAGUGAGAAGAUUUCUUGUCAUGUGUUAUGCAAAUGUUGUUACACAUCACAGAUGGUGGAAUACUUUUACAUAUUUUCAUAGAUGAUUCAUGACAAAUAGAAUCUAUUCAAUAAACUAAGCCACAGUGUAGCUUACGGCAAAAACAGAGUCGAACAAUACUGCUGGCUAAAUGUUAAUUAGAGCUUAUAGACUAUACGCAGAGAACUCAUACUUUGAUGAAAUAAAAUUUUGAUGCUAAGAGAAUUCAGAAAGACAAAUCGAUAGUCCUUGCAAAAAUUAAAAUCAUGUCACCAGUGGAUUAUGAAAAAACAUGCAAACCAUGAGCCCAAUACAUACUGCCUGAUACUAAUGGUGAACGCUCCCAUCGGCUUAGUCAACUUGACCCCCUACCAGUAGCUUCCUCUUGAACAUCGCCACAUUCAGUACCAGCACCACAUAGAGCCUAUCACAUAUGCUAUCAAUAGCUCGGAAGUAAGCAAUCCUCCAUCUCGAGUUCAAUAAGAUGCUUCCACAAAUCGUCCAAAAUCCCACGAUAAAUCCUACUGCACGGCACAUGUAUAGCCAAAUACUUUUAAGUCUAUCCUUAGAAUUUUCAUUUUCCUCUUCUUCUUUACCUUCUGUUGGCAUAUCAUCUGUACAAAUUUUGGCAAGAGGAGAGCCACAAAGAUCUGAAUUGCCGGCAUAGAUUGAUGGAUCUGUAAGCGUUUGUAAUUGGCUACCCGUUGGAAUUCUACCUGAAAGAUUGUUAUAUGACAAGUUCAAAUAACUCAAGAAAUUUAACGCCGCCAAGGUUGAAGGAAUCGCUCCAGACAAAUUAUUUCUGGAGAGAUCAAGAAUUUCUAAUUGUUGCAUUCCAUUAAUGUUGCUCGGUAUCUCCCCUGUUAGGUAAUUUCU